GACGAACGCUGGCGGCGUGCCUAAUACAUGCAAGUUGAGCGAUGAAGCUUGGUGCUUGCCCCAAUUUGAAGAGCAGCGAACGGGUGAGUAACGCGUGGGUAAUCUGCCUUUGAGCGGGGGACAACAUUUGGAAACGAAUGCUAAUACCGCAUAACAACUUUAAACAUAAGUUUUAAGUUUGAAAGAUGCAAUUGCAUCACUCAAAGAUGAUCCCGCGUUGUAUUAGCUAGUUGGUGAGGUAAAGGCUCACCAAGGCGAUGAUACAUAGCCGACCUGAGAGGGGGAUCGGCCACAUUGGGACUGAGACACGGCCCAAACUCCUACGGGAGGCAGCAGUAGGGAAUCUUCGGCAAUGGACGAAAGUCUGACCGAGCAACGCCGCGUGAGUGAAGAAGGUUUUCGGAUCGUAAAACUCUGUUGGUAGAGAAGAACGUUGGUGAGAGUGGAAAGCUCAUCAAGUGACGGUAACUACCCAGAAAGGGACGGCUAACUACGUG
Molecule: ribosomal RNA, 497 nt
Filed under: uncultured bacterium
Lineage: Bacteria
Description: partial 16S ribosomal RNA
Rfam family: Bacterial small subunit ribosomal RNA
Source: RNAcentral